Molecule: ribosomal RNA, 254 nt
Filed under: uncultured bacterium
Lineage: Bacteria
Description: partial 16S ribosomal RNA
Rfam family: Bacterial small subunit ribosomal RNA
Source: RNAcentral
UACAGAGGUCCCAAGCGUUGUUCGGAUUCACUGGGCGUAAAGGGUGCGUAGGUGGCGAGGUAAGUCGGAUGUGAAAGCUCGGAGCUCAACUCCGAAAUGGCAUUGGAAACUACCUUGCUCGAGGGUUGGAGGGGGGACUGGAAUUCUCGGUGUAGCAGUGAAAUGCGUAGAUAUCGAGAGGAACACCAGUGGCGAAGGCGGGUCUCUGGGCAGUGAACUGACGCUGAGGAGCGAAAGCGUGGGGAGCGAACAGG